AUUGAACGCUGGCGGAAUGCUUUACACAUGCAAGUCGAACGGCAGCACGGGGCAACCUGGUGGCGAGUGGCGAACGGGCGAGUAAUACAUCGGAACGUGCCCAAUCGUGGGGGAUAACGUAGCGAAAGUUACGCUAAUACCGCAUACGAUCUACGGAUGAAAGCGGGGGAUCGCAAGACCUCGCGCGAAUGGAGCGGCCGAUGUCAGAUUAGGUAGUUGGUGGGGUAAAGGCUCACCAAGCCAACGAUCUGUAGCUGGUCUGAGAGGACGACCAGCCACACUGGAACUGAGACACGGUCCAGACUCCUACGGGAGGCAGCAGUGGGGAAUUUUGGACAAUGGGCGCAAGCCUGAUCCAGCCAUUCCGCGUGCAGGAUGAAGGCCUUCGGUUGUAAACUGCUUCUGUACGGAACGAAAAGGUCCUGGUUAAUACCUGGGCGUCAUGACGGUACCGUAAGAAUAAGCACCGGCUAACUACGUGCCAGCAGCCGCGGUAAU
Molecule: ribosomal RNA, 498 nt
Filed under: uncultured bacterium
Lineage: Bacteria
Description: bacterial SSU rRNA
Rfam family: Bacterial small subunit ribosomal RNA
Source: RNAcentral